This is a long non-coding RNA of Sinocyclocheilus grahami, 352 nucleotides long. RefSeq lists it as uncharacterized. NCBI's taxonomy places the organism in Eukaryota, Metazoa, Chordata, Actinopteri, Cypriniformes, Cyprinidae. The transcript is spliced from 2 exons. The record is from RefSeq and is a predicted model, not a curated record.
GGCCGAAGGACGCCAGCCGUCCAUACUGACCACAAGCAGGGAUGCAUACGUGCACUCUCAGCCAUUAGGAGAGGUUUUGAACAGUUGUAGUCUUGACGUUUUGACGGAUGGAAACUUUUCUUGAAAAACUAACACAUGAAAAAAAAAAAAAUGAAACAAAAAAACAACAACACAAAAAACACACGAAGAAGCAAACAAAGUGGAAAAACAAGCGCAUAAGGAAGGGCGUUUCGUGAAGCAUAUCGCAUUUAACGAAAGCGUGUGUUUCCACGGCGAUGAAAGACUGGCGUGACGGGGGACGACAGCGACGGCGGAGACGAGGACGAAAACAAAUAAACUGAAAACUUUUUUC